UCGAGAAUCUUCCGCAAUGGGCGAAAGCCUGACGGAGCGACACCGCGUGCAGGACGAAGGCCCUCGGGUUGUAAACUGCUGUCACGCUCUAGGAAUGCCAUGUCGUUAAUAGCGGCAUGGUUGACCAAGGCGAAAGGAAGUGGCGGCUAACUCUGUGCCAGCAGCCGCGGUAAGACAGAGGCCACGAACGUUGUUCGGAAUCACUGGGCAUAAAGCGCACGUAGGCGGCUAGGUCCGUCCAAUGUGAAAGCCCCCGGCUCAACCGGGGAAUUGCAUCGGAUACAGCCUGGCUUGAGGACGGUUGGGGUGAGUGGAACUCCUGGUGGAGCGGUGAAAUGCGUAGAUAUCAGGAGGAACACCGGUGGCGAAAGCGGCUCACUGGACCGUAACUGACGCUGAGGUGCGAAAGCUAGGGGAGCAAACGGGAUUAGAUACCCAUGUAGUCCCUGAGCGGGCUGGCAAGGCGCAU
RNAcentral lists this ribosomal RNA (469 nucleotides) under uncultured bacterium. Its description in RNAcentral is "bacterial SSU rRNA". It matches the Rfam family "Bacterial small subunit ribosomal RNA", at positions 355 to 825 of the family's 1533-position model. The record is from RNAcentral.